This 253-nucleotide ribosomal RNA is filed under the name uncultured bacterium. Its description in RNAcentral is "partial 16S ribosomal RNA". It matches the Rfam family "Bacterial small subunit ribosomal RNA", at positions 524 to 776 of the family's 1533-position model. The record is from RNAcentral.
UACGGAGGGUGCAAGCGUUAUCCGGAUUUACUGGGUUUAAAGGGUGUGUAGGCGGGCUAUUAAGUCAGUGGUGAAAUCUCCGGGCUCAACCCGGAAACUGCCAUUGAUACUGAGAGUCUCGAGACCGGAAGAGGUAAGUGGAACUGCGAGUGUAGAGGUGAAAUUCGUAGAUAUUCGCAAGAGCACCAGUGGCGAAGGCGGCUUACUGGUCCGGUUCUGACGCUGAGGCACGAAAGCGUGGGGAGCAAACAGG